Molecule: non-coding RNA, 352 nt
Filed under: Cherleria biflora
Lineage: Eukaryota; Viridiplantae; Streptophyta; Magnoliopsida; Caryophyllales; Caryophyllaceae
Also listed under: 1 other name
Description: eukaryotic LSU rRNA
Rfam family: 5.8S ribosomal RNA (bases 1-106)
Source: RNAcentral
GAAAUGCGAUACUUGGUGUGAAUUGCAGAAUCCCGUGAACCAUCGAGUCUUUGAACGCAAGUUGCGCCCGAGGCCUUUGGCCGAGGGCACGUCUGCCUGGGCGUCACGCAUCGCAUCUCCCCCACACAACCAUAAGUUGUCGGGGAAGGAGGAUGGCUUCCCGUGCCUCAUCGGGCUCGGUUGGCCUCAAUUUGGAGCCAAAGGCAUCGUUCUUUUGCGGCGAUAGGUGGUGAAACAAGCAACCCGUCGUGUAGGACUUUGCCUAUAGAAGCUUGUAGGACCCUAUGAAGUUGCAAUCUUGCGACUCUUAUGUUGCGACCCCAGGUCAGGCGGGGCUACCCGCUGAAUUUAA